Molecule: ribosomal RNA, 253 nt
Filed under: uncultured bacterium
Lineage: Bacteria
Description: partial 16S ribosomal RNA
Rfam family: Bacterial small subunit ribosomal RNA
Source: RNAcentral
UACGAAGGGGGCUAGCGUUGCUCGGAAUCACUGGGCGUAAAGCGCACGUAGGCGGCUUUCUAAGUCAGGGGUGAAAUCCUGGAGCUCAACUCCAGAACUGCCUUUGAUACUGGAGAGCUUGAGUCCGGAAGAGGUGAGUGGAACUGCGAGUGUAGAGGUGAAAUUCGUAGAUAUUCGCAAGAACACCAGUGGCGAAGGCGGCUCACUGGUCCGGUACUGACGCUGAGGUGCGAAAGCGUGGGGAGCAAACAGG